GCUAAAUUCCAAGCCAAAUUGGGUGCUCAGCACCUUUUGCUCUUGCUGUGCAGAGGUGUUUGCAUUCAUUCAGGUGAUUCAUUCCUUGUUCCUUUUCCCUUUUCGCCUUUUCCUAAUCUAGUACUUACGUGAGAUGGCAGCUGAGUUUAUUUGGCCCACUUUCUCCUUAUGGCUAAACUUUGCUCACAUUCACUUCUAUGGAUUAAAGGAGGUCAGAAAGAAGAGCUGAUCGGGAGAGAAAGUGCCUUGGUCCUGUGACCACAUGUCUGAACCUGACACCGGGUUUGAUUGGCACCACAUUCUGGGCAGGGGGCUAAUGUGGGAUAGGAAGAUAAAAGGAGGGCAUGGGAAGCAGACUCAGGGAGUAGAAAGCAGGAAACACAGCUGCAGGAAAUCCAGGGUGGGUUUGCCCUCUACUGGAAAAGGGACCCAUAGUUUGUGGCCCAUGUCUGUCAUCUCUCACCAUCUCCCUCUUUGCCUCCCCUAAUGGCACCAAGAAUAGCCCACCUGAAGCAAAUUGCCGCACCUUGCCUCUUGGCAGGGCUGCCUCUGAAUCCCUGCAUAAGUAAAAAUGUUUUAGCUCCUCUGAUUCAGGUGGUGAAUCAGAGCUUGAAGAGACAUGAAGGAGGAGCUACAAGGAGCAUCCAAAGGUCUCUUGGGUGAACUAUUUUUCAUCUUGGGACCAUCAUUUUAAAUGAUAGUAGAGCAUACUAUGUUGACAGUUCCAUUAUAGAACCACAGAUCUACAGGAAAUGAUCCAAGUUAAGACCCAAUGUCAUUGAAGAACACCUGCUCCCACAUCUCGUACCCGCCCGGGUGAUAAGAUAAGCCUACUGUGGGCCCUCUCUGGGUACCCUGUCAUUAAAGAUCAAGCAGGUGAUGACUAGGGAGUAAGAUAUUUCAGCUGUGAUGCCCCACUUAUGGAAUUCCCACCCCAUUGAAGCAUACCCAUUGCCAACUCUGUUAUAUUUUCUGUUUUCCCUGGCUUUAUAAUUACUUCUUAUAUACCUUUAUAUACCUGUGGAUUUAUUAUAUAAUUUGCCUUGUUGUUGUUGUAUAUAGAGAUUUUUGUAUUCCUGUUAGGUUUUCCUUGUUGCUUUUUAUCGUUUUAAAUUUGCUUUGUAAUCUGUCCUGGGAGAGAGAUCAUGAAUGGGUGGCACAGAAGUGUUCUGGAUAAAUAAAAAGUCAACGAGAUGACAUACUCUGGAACUCUUCAUUCCCAUGGCUAGGAGAAAGCUCCGAGUCUUAACUGUUUAAACAAGACACACAAUCAGAUAAUACCCCAAGAUAGAGAGAGAGAGAGAGAGAGAGAGAGAGAGAGAAUCUGCAUUGAUAUUGGUGUGUUUGUUGUGUUCUUCAUAGAACCAUUUCAGCAGGUUUAUUCCAAAGGCUGAUGUACACAGUCUGAAUGGAUCAGGAGGCUGGGAAAAGGUGAAGUUGGAUUAGAUCCAACUUCAGCUAAAGAAAAGAAAAGAAGGAGACACUUGCGUCAUUGGUCUUCAGGACUUAUUCUUCAAACAAUAACUGGCAAGUCAAGGGAUGGAGGGGAAAAAUACUUCAGGACUGCAGCAUACUGGCUUCAUAACGCCAAUCUGAUGACUGCCUAUAUACAGGUACAUUGUUGGCACCUGUUGUUUUUUUUCUUAAAGAGAGGUAGAUGUCAGAUAGGACACAGUUCUUAACACACUGGUAAACAGCAGGCAUCUUAAUCAGGGAUUGCUUUGCAGCAGAAGUACCCUCCGACUAAGGCUUGUUUUACAAAGACAAACACGUCACUCGAUUCUAGAGCAAAGAUGGAGAGUAUAUGUAUGUCAGGAGUCUUGCUGGAUGAGACCAGGGCUAUUUUUCUUGAAAAGGAGGUCCCAGAACUCACCAUGAAACCUCCCUCAUUCUCUUAGAAUGGCAAUGGCACCCACCUGAGAAGGGCCAGAAUUGAGUUCCAGCAAGUUCAGGGAGAGAAAAAGGCCUGGAUCAGACCAAAGGUCCAUCUAUUACAGUGUUUGUAAUGAUAAAUCAUCAGUAUAGAUGGGACUUGGAAAAACCUGAAGGAGAGCCUGGCCACAUUCUGGCCACAAACAUUUGUCACCACCCUGCUUCUCUCAUGCUCAUUUUCUGCAGGAAGACACACAUGGAGAGGGGCUGAGAUUCAGAUGUAAAGGUCUUAACAGGAUGGCAGACUCUGACUUCCACCAUCUUCUUUCUCCCGUAAGGAGCCAGAAGGAAGGGCAGGGCUUUUCUUUUUUCAGCCAGAACUCACUGGAACUCAGUUCUGGCCCCUCUCAAGUGGGCACCUGAAAUAUACUCGGAGUCAAUAGUGGAUUUCAUGCUCUUUAUUCGGCUCAUAGUGGUGAGGAGGAAUGAAUGUUUCCCCAAAAUAUCUGCUUUAUAUACAUUAUUUACACAAUGGGCUGCACAUGAUUGGCUAAUUCCAGGAUUCUCCUGUGGGCCAAUCAGGCUGUGGAUUCACUUCCACCUGGAGCUGGAUUGGGUGGCUCCUGCAGACCAAUCAGACUGCUGCAUUUUGGAUCCUAUUCAACUCAGUACAUAACAGCACCACUGCCAUUAUAAGAGAAAAAGGGAGCUGUUCAUGGUGAGUUCUGGCACCUCUUUUUCUAGAAAAAUAGUGUUGGGGAGGGGACUUUGCAUAUUAAGAUUGUUCCUCAUCACACUGAUUUUAAAAAUACGCUUAUAAGGCAUAAUUAUUAUGGAGAAAAACUGCUGACAUCACAAGUUUAGGAAGCUGCAAAGAUGCCUUUCAGUCACUGGGAAUCUGCCACAGCUGGAUUCAGAUGCCUUUGGAAGAAACUUGGCCAUUGCUCUUUCAGGAAUAGUUGUAAUGUAGUGAAACCAAUUUGUCUGCAGAGCCAGGAGCUCAUAAAUUCAGCUCGUCCAGCCUAUUUGCAACUACAGAUUAGAAUUUUCUAGUUGUGAUACGAGGACAGUUCACACAGGAACUGAUUAUUACCUCUUGAAAGAAGUCGCAGCUUUUUGCAGCCUGCGUUAGCCUAUUAGAAAGCGAGUGAGCCAAAGGGAGAUCUUUCUUCCCUGUUCACAGGAUGUCAGCACUGUAUUAUGUUCAUGGCAAGAAAAACACUCUUGAGGAAAAGCAGAUAUCAAGGGCUUUUCAAUGCAUGUGCAUCCAUAAACUUUUCAGAUUAGAAGGAAGAAACAGUGGUGGGUUGGCCUUAUGGGUGUCCCAGGGGGCAGCUGCCCCAACUAAAUCAGUAAAAAGAAAUAAAAAGAAAUAAAAAUCUGAAGUUCUGCCCCCCACAACAAAAGCCUGCUCCCCCCCCAAAAAAAAUCCUGGCUACGCCCAUGGUUGGUCCUGAUUUUUUUUUUAAUUCAUACUUUCUUUCAGGUAAUAAACAUGAGAUAAUGACUUCAUCAGAGGUUACACAGUUCUAACCUCCAGAAUUUGAGGAUGCUGAAAUUGUACAUACAAAAAUGAAACAAUAAUGUAUUUUAUUUUUUAAAAACCCAAGUAUAGUAUAGCGCUCUCUCUCCCCCCCUCUCUCUCAAUUAAUGAUAAGUACACAAUGGGUCAACCUAUGUAGAACAUCUUUAGCUUACCACAAAGUAGCACCAUCCUUUAAGACUUUUUUUCUUUGUUAUCAAUGUAACACGAUGAGGUAACAAUAGCCACAUAGCAGGGAGAGGGGCCUAAAUUUUACACACUGAAUCAAAUCAACCAAUUACUCCUUUGAGUACAGGCUUCUAAGACGAAUAGGCUUUGGUUUAAGCAAUGUAACUACAUGCCAACUAUGCCAGAAAUGGAUACAGUAUUUCUUUGUAAACAAGCCACUGUGUUUUCCAUAUCUCAGGUCAAUUCCAGCAACCAGUCCCACAGUGACAUCCCUGCAAAAAUGUUCUGUAGGCAUGGCACAGGGAAGAGGACAUGAACCUAGGGAUGGAAGUUCUGGUUCCUUGGCAGAUUUUGGAGAUCCUUGGUCAAGAUCCUUAAUCUAGAAGAGGCGAGGAUUGAAAAGUGAGAAUUCUCUCAUGCUGCCUCAGAAUCUAUUGGGUGCUCCAUGGAAGAGUGUGGUUGUAGAGC
RNAcentral lists this long non-coding RNA (4051 nucleotides) under Podarcis lilfordi (Lilford's wall lizard). The record is from RNAcentral. Lineage: Eukaryota; Metazoa; Chordata; Lepidosauria; Squamata; Lacertidae.